Molecule: ribosomal RNA, 484 nt
Filed under: uncultured bacterium
Lineage: Bacteria
Description: partial 16S ribosomal RNA
Rfam family: Bacterial small subunit ribosomal RNA
Source: RNAcentral
AUUGAACGCUGGCGGCAGGCCUAACACAUGCAAGUCGAGCGGAUGAAGGGAGCUUGCUCCUGGAUUCAGCGGCGGACGGGUGAGUAAUGCCUAGGAAUCUGCCUGGUAGUGGGGGAUAACGUCCGGAAACGGGCGCUAAUACCGCAUCCGUCCUGAGGGAGAAAGUGGGGGAUCUUCGGACCUCACGCUAUCAGCUGAGCCUAGGUCGGAUUAGCUAGUUGGUGGGGUAAAGGCCUACCAAGGCGACGAUCCGUAACUGGUCUGAGAGGAUGAUCAGUCACACUGGAUCUGAGACACGGUCCCGACUCCUACGGGAGGCAGCAGUGGGGAAUAUUGGACAAUGGGCGAAAGCCUGCUCCAGCCAUGCCGCGUGUGUGAAGAAGGUCUUCGGAUUGUAAAGCACUUUAAGUUGGGAGGAAGGGAAGUAAGUUAAUACCUUGCUGUUUUGACGUUACCAACAGAAUAAGCACCGGCUAACUUCGUG